UGAGGAGUUAGGAGAAGGUGGGAGCCAACUGAAGGGAAAGCUGCAGGGAGAGGGAGGUGUGCACCCUGAAUGAAUGAAGAUCUUUUUCCUCUCUUUUCCUCAAGGCUCACAGCAUGGCCCCUAUUUUCUUCUAACCAUUACAUUCCUAAAUCCAAGGGGGGGAUGGGCCAUGUAAAGUGAAAUGCUUUGUGGACUUUUUUAUUUUUAAACCUUACCUAAAUCUGGUGCUUCUCCAGCUUCAACCACCCCCUGGCUGAGCUGCGCGCCCGCGCAAGGAGGCGCGCGCGCACACGCGCACACACACACACACACACACACACACACACACACACGCUUGCACAUACAUACACACACACACACCAUGCACGCACGAGCGCGCAUCUGUACCUUCAAGUCUUGUCUGCUUGCAUACUGGCUGUUUAUGUUGGUUUCAUCUUCCUAAAGUUUUAAACCUAUUCAAAAUGACUGGCUUCUUAUUCCGAGGAGGCUUCGUGCAACCUCUGAGAGAAGAAAAGGUUUUUGAUGUUCAGUAAUAGGAGAGUUGUGGAAUGAGACGAGCAGGGAUUUUCUGUGUGCGGUUUGUUGUGCGUGCACGUGUGUGUGUGUGUGUGUGUGUGUGUGUGUGUUUUCCUCUACACUGAGAGGAGGGGGGAAAAAAUUACUCAAAUCCUGUUAAGAAGCAGGAAGGAAUCAUUUGCAGUAAAGCUCUGUAGCAUGUACCUGACAUGAUUUUCCUCUUUUUCAUGGGCUCUUCAGAGCAGGGAUUUAUAAGCUAUGUAGGAGCUCCUGGACCACGGCUUUCCCCAACACCUGGAAAUUAUCAAGCUUGCUGCUUGCUGAAUGAUGCUAACAGCUCUAAUGCUGCAAAUUCAUUUUUAACAACUCACUGGCUUUUAUCUAGGACUUGUGUGUAUGUGUGUGUCUUUCUUUAAGAGAAAACUACUAAAGCAACUGAAAAUAUCAAAGACACAAAAAUCAAAUCUGACUUGAAUGUGUUACAUCUCUGAACCCAUUCCCAUUAUGCAUAUGUAGAUAGAUACAUUUCCCUGUUC
RNAcentral lists this long non-coding RNA (1052 nucleotides) under Phascolarctos cinereus (koala). RNAcentral describes it as "lncRNA (ENSPCIG00000028096.2)". The record is from RNAcentral. Lineage: Eukaryota; Metazoa; Chordata; Mammalia; Diprotodontia; Phascolarctidae.